GCAACCUCUUGAAGUUGAUAAGAUGCUCCAUGCUUGCUCUGGGCAAUCUUCAGUAAAACACCAGAGAAAAAGACUUCAAGUUGUAGCUUUAACUUAAAACGCAGAUGAUGAUACAAAUUUAAAACAAUGCUACAAACUGUCGAAAGAAUUAAAGGACUCAUGGACAACCCAAAACGCAUCAGAUUGUGGAACAAUUCCUCCUGUAUCAGAGCCAACAACUUGGGAUGAUUUGCAAAAGCAGCACCACCUAGUUCUAUGGCUGAAUUAAUUAAACCCAGCGCAAA
Molecule: unclassified non-coding RNA, 284 nt
Filed under: Hevea brasiliensis (rubber tree)
Lineage: Eukaryota; Viridiplantae; Streptophyta; Magnoliopsida; Malpighiales; Euphorbiaceae
Source: RNAcentral